UGAGGAAUAUUGGGCAAUGCCCGCAAGGGUGACCCAGCAACGCCGCGUGGAGGAUGAAUGCCGUAAGGUUGUAAACUCCUGUUAGAGGGGAAGAAUAAUUCCGAUUGCAUCGGAACUUGACUGUACCCUCAGAGAAAGCCCCGGCUAACUACGUGCCAGCAGCCGCGGUAAUACGUAGGGGGCAAGCGUUGUCCGGAUUUACUGGGUGUAAAGGGCGCGCAGGUGGGCUUGAUAGUUAGAGGUGAAAUCCUGUGGCUUAACUGCAGAACUGCCUUUAAUACUUCAAGUCUUGAGUGCGGAAGAGAGAGACGGAAUUCCAGGUGUAGUAGUGAAAUACGUAGAUAUCUGGAAGAACACCAGUUGCGAAGGCGGUCUCUUGGUCCGUAACUGACACUUAGGCGCGAAAGCGUGGGGAGCAAACAGG
Molecule: ribosomal RNA, 424 nt
Filed under: uncultured Ignavibacterium sp.
Lineage: Bacteria; Pseudomonadati; Ignavibacteriota; Ignavibacteria; Ignavibacteriales; Ignavibacteriaceae
Also listed under: 1 other name
Description: bacterial SSU rRNA
Rfam family: Bacterial small subunit ribosomal RNA
Source: RNAcentral